CAGCAGCCACGGUAAUACGUAGGGUGCAAGCGUUAAUCGGAAUUACUGGGCGUAAAGCGUGCGCAGGCGGUUAUAUAAGUCAGAUGUGAAAUCCCCGGGCUCAACCUGGGAACUGCAUUUGAGACUGUAUGGCUAGAGUGUGUCAGAGGGGGGUAGAAUUCCACGUGUAGCAGUGAAAUGCGUAGAUAUGUGGAGGAAUACCGAUGGCGAAGGCAGCCCCCUGGGAUAACACUGACGCUCAUGCACGAAAGCGUGGGGAGCAAACAGGAUUAGAUACCCCUGUAGUCCCUGUCUCUUAUAC
Molecule: ribosomal RNA, 301 nt
Filed under: uncultured bacterium
Lineage: Bacteria
Description: partial 16S ribosomal RNA
Rfam family: Bacterial small subunit ribosomal RNA
Source: RNAcentral